AGUGAACAUUGGCGGCGUGGAUUAGGCAUGCAAGUCGAGCGAGAACCGUAGCAAUACGGGGACAGCGGCGAAAGGGACAGUAAUGUGUAGGUACCUACCCCGAGGUCUGGGAUAGCUGCGGGAAACUGCAGGUAAUACCGGAUAAUGUCUUCGGACCAAAGGUGUGAUUCCACCUUGGGAGGGGCCUGCAUCCUAUUAGCUUGUUGGCGGAGUAACGGCCCACCAAGGCGACGAUGGGUAGCGGGUGUGAGCGCACGACCCGCGUCAUUGGGACUGAGACACUGCCCAGACACCUACGGGCGGCUGCAGUCGAGGAUCUUCGGCAAUGGGCGCAAGCCUGACCGAGCGACGCCGCGUGCGGGAUGAAGGCCUUCGGGUUGUAAACCGCUGUCGUAGAGGAGGAAAUGCAGGGGGGUUCUCCCUUCUGUUUGACCUAUUCUAGGAGGAAGGACGGGCUAAGUUCGUGCCAGCCGCCGCGGUAA
Molecule: ribosomal RNA, 482 nt
Filed under: uncultured bacterium
Lineage: Bacteria
Description: partial 16S ribosomal RNA
Rfam family: Bacterial small subunit ribosomal RNA
Source: RNAcentral